Small nuclear RNA from Rattus norvegicus (Norway rat), 111 nucleotides. Ensembl annotates it as U4 spliceosomal RNA. The record is from Ensembl. NCBI's taxonomy places the organism in Eukaryota, Metazoa, Chordata, Mammalia, Rodentia, Muridae.
AGCUUUGCGCAGUGGCAGUAUCGUAGCCAAUGAGGUUUAUCCGAGGCGCGAUUAUUGCUAAUUGAAAUGUCUCAAGUUCUAAACGUGUAUCUUUGAAGCAGUCUUGAGCCC